This is a non-coding RNA of Acanthosepion pharaonis, 107 nucleotides long. NCBI's taxonomy places the organism in Eukaryota, Metazoa, Mollusca, Cephalopoda, Sepiida, Sepiidae. The record is from the annotation of a GenBank genome assembly.
UACAGCCACAUCACAUUGAAACGCCAGUUCUUGUAUGAUAACCAAAGUUAAGCAAGGUUGAGCCUGGUCAGUACCUAGUUGGGUGACUGCUUGGGAAUACCAGGUGU